UACAGAGGGUGCGAGCGUUAAUCGGAUUUUACUGGGGCGUAAAAGCGUGCGUAGGCGGCUGAUUAAGUCGGAUGUGAAAUCCCUGAGCUUAACUUAGGAAUUGCAUUCGAUACUGGUCAGCUAGAGUAUGGGGAGAGGAUGGUAGAAUUCCAGGUGUAGCGGUGAAAUGCGUAGAGAUCUGGAGGAAUACCGAUGGCGAAGGCAGCCAUCUGGCCUAAUACUGUCGCUGAGGUACGAAAGCGUGGGGAGCAAACAGG
This 257-nucleotide ribosomal RNA is filed under the name uncultured bacterium. RNAcentral describes it as "partial 16S ribosomal RNA". It matches the Rfam family "Bacterial small subunit ribosomal RNA", at positions 524 to 776 of the family's 1533-position model. The record is from RNAcentral.